GAUGAACGCUGACAGAAUGCUUAACACAUGCAAGUCGAUGGGGAAGUGGUGCUUGCACCAUGGCAACCAUGGCGGACGGGUGAGUAACGCGUAAGGGACUUACCUGCAGGACUGGGAUAACAGGGGGAAACUCCUGACAAGACCGGAUAAUGUCAUGGAGCUGCAUGGCUUUAUGAUGAAAGGAGACGCCUGCGGAGAGCCUUGCGUCCUAUUAGCUAGUUGGUGAGGUAAUGACUCACCAAGGCGAAGAUAGGUAGCCGGCCUGAGAGGGUGGACGGCCACAAGGGGACUGAGAUACGGCCCUUACUCCUACGGGAGGCAGCAGUGGGGAAUAUUGGACAAUGGGGGCAACCCUGAUCCAGCAAUUCUGUGUGCACGAAGAAGGUUUUCGGAUUGUAAAGUGCUUUCAGCAGGGAAGAAGUAAGUGACGGUACCUGCAGAAGAAGCGACGGCUAAAUACGUG
RNAcentral lists this ribosomal RNA (463 nucleotides) under uncultured bacterium. RNAcentral's name for it is "partial 16S ribosomal RNA". It matches the Rfam family "Bacterial small subunit ribosomal RNA", at positions 28 to 507 of the family's 1533-position model. The record is from RNAcentral.